AUAGGUGGAGAAUGUUAAGGUAGUAGAGCUAGGGUUUAUGGUAGGUUCUAUAUCUGUAUCCAGUGUGGGAUUACAUAGUUAACAAAUAGAAUCGAUUAAUUGGGGUAGCUAAGUGGUCAGUGGUAGACUCUCAGCUCAUAGACUCUGUGGUUGUGGGUUCGAUUCCUACUGUGGCCCCUGGCCCUUUUUUCCUACAACCCUCCCCCCCAAACUAUAUAUGAUGAAAUAAUCCUCAAAAUGUACUCUUGGUAAUAUGCUAGUUUGCUAGGCCUUUAAAAAAAUUAGACUUUUUUCAAUGACCAUUCCAUUUUCUAAAGGUCAUCAGCUGUAUGUGGAUUUUAUUUGUGUAUUAAUUUUGUAUCUUUCAAGCCCAUAUCCCUCAAACUUUUUUUGCACUACUUCAACAUACGCAAGGUCAAAAACCGAUUUGUGAUUUCUGAGAUGGCAAGGAGGUACAUAAAAUUGGAGUUUACCAAGGAUUUCUGGGGAAUCUAUACAGUUAUUAAUUAAUUUGAAAAUAAAAAUAAUCUCAAAAUACUUUCUUCUGCAGCUAAGAUGAGAAAUAUUGAUGUCAGAUUUAAUGGGUGCAUGAGAGGAAUUGUCGUUUUUAUGUAGUGUGGAUGAUUGAGGCACAUUCAACAAUAGGUUGAACAAGUAAAUUAUAUAGAUAGACAAAGCAAGAAGGAUUUUUGAACUGAUAGAUACUUUGGAUUAUGAAGCCAAGCAUUUUAAAGGAGCGAUUUUUGAUUUCUUGUAAAUAUAGCUUAAAGGCUUGUUGAGGCCCAAAAGGGCAAGGAAGGACCUUUUUUUCAACAUUGAAGGCACUUAUUUUUAAUUGUUAAUGGC
Long non-coding RNA from Cimex lectularius (bed bug), 846 nucleotides. RefSeq lists it as uncharacterized. The record is from RefSeq and is a predicted model, not a curated record. Lineage: Eukaryota; Metazoa; Arthropoda; Insecta; Hemiptera; Cimicidae. The transcript has 4 exons.